This 253-nucleotide ribosomal RNA is filed under the name uncultured bacterium. Its description in RNAcentral is "partial 16S ribosomal RNA". It matches the Rfam family "Bacterial small subunit ribosomal RNA", at positions 524 to 776 of the family's 1533-position model. The record is from RNAcentral.
UACAGAGGUCUCAAGCGUUGUUCGGAUUCAUUGGGCGUAAAGGGUGCGUAGGUGGUCGGAUAAGUCAAAUGUGAAAUCCCGGAGCUCAACUCCGGAACUGCAUUCGAUACUGCCCGGCUCGAGGGUUGGAGAGGAGACUGGAAUUCACGGUGUAGCAGUGAAAUGCGUAGAUAUCGUGAGGAACACCCGUGGCGAAGGCGGGUCUCUGGACAACUCCUGACAGUGAGGCACGAAGGACAGGGGAGCAAACGGG